This 73-nucleotide transfer RNA is filed under the name Cyclobacteriaceae bacterium. RNAcentral's name for it is "tRNA-Thr". It matches the Rfam family "tRNA". From Rfam's summary of the family: Transfer RNA (tRNA) molecules are approximately 80 nucleotides in length. Their secondary structure includes four short double-helical elements and three loops (D, anti-codon, and T loops). Further hydrogen bonds mediate the characteristic L-shaped molecular structure. tRNAs have two regions of fundamental functional importance: the anti-codon, which is responsible for specific mRNA codon recognition, and the 3' end, to which the tRNAs corresponding amino acid is attached (by aminoacyl-tRNA synthetases). tRNAs cope with the degeneracy of the genetic code in two manners: having more than one tRNA (with a specific anti-codon) for a particular amino acid; and 'wobble' base-pairing, i.e. permitting non-standard base-pairing at the 3rd anti-codon position. Lineage: Bacteria; Pseudomonadati; Bacteroidota; Cytophagia; Cytophagales; Cyclobacteriaceae. The record is from RNAcentral.
GCCUCUUUAGCUCAGUUGGUAGAGCAACGCAUUCGUAAUGCGUGGGUCGCCGGUUCGAGUCCGGUGAGAGGCU